This is a long non-coding RNA of Arabidopsis lyrata subsp. lyrata, 1510 nucleotides long. RefSeq lists it as uncharacterized. NCBI's taxonomy places the organism in Eukaryota, Viridiplantae, Streptophyta, Magnoliopsida, Brassicales, Brassicaceae. The record is from RefSeq and is a predicted model, not a curated record. The transcript has 7 exons.
GAAUUGAACAAUGAACCAGAGCAGAUGAGUGUGGAUGCGCCAGAGAUAUAUGGAUCCUUGUAUGAAGUAGUAGAGGGAUUGAUAAGCUGGAUUUGGAAGAAAAAGGGAUUCACUAGCAAAACGUGAUUCUGAGCACUAUUUCUCUAAGUUCUAUAUAGAUAUUUAGCCGAAAAUGUGUGAAACCUUCACCCAUUUUUUCAAAAACAAAAGGUGUUCAUUGUUGCUUUAAUGGGAUGCUGGAGAUAAUGGGUGGACGCAUAUUUUCAGUUUGUGGUGAAUGAAUCCGUCUGUUGUUUUCAAAGACUUAGCUGAUCUUUCGUUAUCCAUCAUUUUAACAUCUGGUUUCAAGAACUGAAUGUAUGGUUUAACAAUAUAAUUGUUCCACAUAUGGGCUGGUUCAAUCUCCAGUGGUCCGGGUAGUUGGAAAGAACAGAUUAGUUGGAAGAAAUAGCAGAGUUAAGAAAGCAUGGUCUUUUCUAACUGAGGCUCAAGAUGAUUCCAAGAAAGGAUCUGCAUUUCUUGCAGUGUGUAGGGGAAAGGUUUCAGAAGGGCUUGAUGAUUGCGCACAGAUGAUUGUUGGCAUUCCAUUUCCAAACUUGUAGUCGAACUAAAGAGAAAAUAUAAGGAUACCAACAAAUCAUCUAAAAACCUUGGAGGGAGUGAGUGGUAUUGCCAACAGGCGUAUCAUGCUUUAAAUCAAGCAGCAGGACGAUGUAUCCGGCAUAGGUUUGAUUAUGGUGCCAUCAUAUUCUUAGAUGAGUGAUACCGACAACCAAGGAACAGAGCGUCUAUUUCAAAGUGACUAAGGCAAUCUAUCAAAGUGUAUGAUAAUUUUGAAGCUUCUGUGGAAGGACUAAGACCUUUUAUUCCACAUUGUCAAGGAGAUAGUUGACAUUAAGAUAUUAGAGUCCCAUGAGCAGAACUUGUCCCCUGAAAACCAAAGCAAUGAAGAUCCAGAAAAGGAAACCUCAGGCAUUUCAGCAGCCAGUCCAUGUUCUAGCUCGAAGAAUGAAAGCUCUAGCCUAGCAACAGGUCUGAGAUCUCUGAGGUCUCCUGAUCGAUUCUUAAAACGGCAUUUAUCUACUGCAAAUUUCAGAAGACCUCCUCCUCUGUAAUAGUAACUCCAGAGAGAUACUCUAUUGGUGAUACCCGUAGUUCGAUUCUAGAAGCAGAGUCACCUUUGAACAUGAGUGUUAAUUCCCAUGCUUUGAAGAGAAGAAAGUUCCAUACCUCUCCAGUCAUCAUUGACCUUGAAGAAGAAAGCAGCAAUGCUACUAAUACUACUAUACUAGACCCGCGGAUCACAAGAAGAAUUGAAUUUGGGUUUGGUAGUACCGAAUCAAGAUCCCAAAAUGACGAUCUUUUGCCCUUUUUGUAGAGUCCCAAACACCUGCCUUGGAGUGCAAGUCAUGGCUACUGUGUCAUCAAACGUCCAGUUUAUGAGCAAAGUAAGCUUGACUUUAGUUGGUGAUUCAUCAGAGUGCAUUGUCUUGAUAUUGAGAUAUCUUUU